GUCUUCCAUGAAAAAAUGUCAGCUCAACUAAGAGUUGUGCUUACAGAUGUAUGGUGGGGCUCCUUAUCAGAGUUUUUGCUUUCUAUGUUUACUUGCAGUCUGAAAAUAAUUGCUAAGAGCAGUGAGAAAUUAAGAUACUUAGAAAGCACAUUUACUUUUAUUACAGUAUGUCAUUAUAACUGUUCUAUUUUAUUACUAGCUAUCAUUGUUAAUCUCUUUCUGAGUUCUAUUAAUAAAUUAAACUUAUCAUAGAUAUUUAUGUAUAAGAAAAAGCAUAGUAUAUGAAGGAUUUGGUACUAACCACAGUUUCUGGCAUCCCCUGGGGUCUUGGAACAUAUUCCCUACUGACAUUCAGCUUCACAGCUCAGAGAUCAUACCAGUGACCAUACUUUGACUAGCCUUGCUUUUGGUUAGGGGGUCAGGAAACAUUUUUGUAAGGGACCAGAUAAUAAAUAUUUUAGGCUUUCUGAGCCACAUAAGCUGUCUUAUGUUAUUGUUUUUUUUUUAUUUUUUUAUUGGUUGUUCAAAACAUUACAAAGCUCUUGACAUAUCAUAUUUCAUACAUUAGAUUCAAGUGGGUUAUGAACUCCCAUUUUUACCCCAAAUACAGAUUGCAGAAUCAUAUCGGUUACACAUCCACAUUUUUACAUAAUGCCCUAUUAGUAACUGUUGUAUUCUGCUACCUUUCCUAUCCUCUACUAUCCCCCCUCCCCUCCCCUCCCAUCUUCUCCCUCUACCCCAUCUCCUGUAAUUCAUUUCUCUCCUUGUUUAUUUUCCCAUUCCCCUCACAACCUUAUGUUAUUGUUAAAACAUUGUAAAACCCAUUCUGAGAGCUCUAGGGGCCAUCCAAAGACAAGCCACAGGCUGUCUGCGGCCAUGGGCUGUGGUUUUUGCUUUAGACUAGAACUAUUUUUAGAGUACAAGUUAUGUGAAAAAAAAUCUUGAUUAUAAAAAUAUAAUUAUGGAUGUUGCUGAAAUGAAAGCAAGGAAGUUAAACUGAGUGGGAUAAAUAUAUGAUCAUUUAUAAAUUUUACAUA
RNAcentral lists this long non-coding RNA (1037 nucleotides) under Marmota monax (woodchuck). The record is from RNAcentral. Lineage: Eukaryota; Metazoa; Chordata; Mammalia; Rodentia; Sciuridae.